Molecule: ribosomal RNA, 465 nt
Filed under: Vreelandella stevensii
Lineage: Bacteria; Pseudomonadati; Pseudomonadota; Gammaproteobacteria; Oceanospirillales; Halomonadaceae
Description: partial 16S ribosomal RNA
Rfam family: Bacterial small subunit ribosomal RNA
Source: RNAcentral
CCUACGGGUGGCAGCAGUGGGGAAUAUUGGACAAUGGGCGAAAGCCUGAUCCAGCCAUGCCGCGUGUGUGAAGAAGGCCUUCGGGUUGUAAAGCACUUUCAGUGGGGAAGAAAGCCUUGGGGCUAAUACCCUCGAGGAAGGACAUCACCCACAGAAGAAGCACCGGAUAACUCCGUGCCAGCAGCCGCGGGAAUACGGAGGGUGCGAGCGUUAAUCGGAAUUACUGGGCGUAAAGCGCGCGUAGGCGGUCUGAUAAGCCGGUUGUGAAAGCCCCGGGCUCAACCUGGGAACGGCAUCCGGAACUGUCAGGCUAGAGUGCAGGAGAGGAAGGUAGAAUUCCCGGUGUAGCGGUGAAAUGCGUAGAGAUCGGGAGGAAUACCAGUGGCGAAGGCGGCCUUCUGGCCUGACACUGACGCUGAGGUGCGAAAGCGUGGGUAGCAAACAGGAUUAGAUACCCGAGUAGUC